AACGGCCGUACCAUGCUGAAUAUACCGGUUCUCGUUAGAUCACCGAAGUCAAGCAUCAUUGGGCGUGGUCAGUACUUGGGCGGGUGACCACCUGGGAACACCGCGUGCCGUU
RNAcentral lists this ribosomal RNA (112 nucleotides) under Caerostris darwini. Lineage: Eukaryota; Metazoa; Arthropoda; Arachnida; Araneae; Araneidae. The record is from RNAcentral.